This 419-nucleotide ribosomal RNA is filed under the name uncultured bacterium. RNAcentral describes it as "bacterial SSU rRNA". It matches the Rfam family "Bacterial small subunit ribosomal RNA", at positions 358 to 775 of the family's 1533-position model. The record is from RNAcentral.
GGAAUAUUGGGCAAUGGAGGCAACUCUGACCCAGCCAUGCCGCGUGCAGGAUGAAGGCCUUCUGGGUUGUAAACUGCUUUUAUCUAGGAAGAAAAAGCCCUUGCGAGGGAAACUGACGGUACUAGAUGAAUAAGCACCGGCUAACUCCGUGCCAGCAGCCGCGGUAAUACGGAGGGUGCAAGCGUUGUCCGGAUUUAUUGGGUUUAAAGGGUGCGUAGGCGGCCCUGUAAGUCAGUGGUGAAAGCCUCCAGCUCAACUGGAGAACUGCCAUUGAUACUGCAGGGCUUGAGUACAGACGAGGUUGGCGGAAUUGAUAGUGUAGCGGUGAAAUGCAUAGAUACUAUCAAGAACUCCGAUUGCGUAGGCAGCUAACUAGGCUGUAACUGACGCUGAGGCACGAAAGCGUGGGGAGCGAACAG